CUGCAAUAGGGAUGGAAACGGCAUCCUUUUCUUUUAAAGUACCAAUUGGAAAAUUCAGAAAGCACCGUCGGCAAAGAAAAGAUAUAGUGGACAGCCCGGCUGCUA
This 105-nucleotide small RNA is filed under the name Kaistella antarctica. Its description in RNAcentral is "Chryseobacterium antarcticum Flavo-1 RNA". It matches the Rfam family "Flavo-1 RNA". The record is from RNAcentral. Lineage: Bacteria; Pseudomonadati; Bacteroidota; Flavobacteriia; Flavobacteriales; Weeksellaceae.